Molecule: ribosomal RNA, 492 nt
Filed under: uncultured bacterium
Lineage: Bacteria
Description: partial 16S ribosomal RNA
Rfam family: Bacterial small subunit ribosomal RNA
Source: RNAcentral
AGUGAACGCUGGCGGUAGGCCUAACACAUGCAAGUCGAACGGCAGCACAGUAAGAGCUUGCUCUUACGGGUGGCGAGUGGCGGACGGGUGAGGAAUACAUCGGAAUCUACUUUUUCGUGGGGGAUAACGUAGGGAAACUUACGCUAAUACCGCAUACGACCUACGGGUGAAAGCAGGGGAUCUUCGGACCUUGCGCGAUUGAAUGAGCCGAUGUCGGAUUAGCUAGUUGGCGGGGUAAAGGCCCACCAAGGCGACGAUCCGUAGCUGGUCUGAGAGGAUGAUCAGCCACACGGGAACUGAGACACGGUCCAGACUCCUACGGGAGGCAGCAGUGGGGAAUAUUGGACAAUGGGCGCAAGCCUGAUUCAGCCAUACCGCGUGGGUGAAGAAGGCCUUCGGGCUGUAAAGCCCUUUUGUUGGGAAAGAAAAGCAGCAGGUUAAUACCCCGCUGUUCUGACGGUACCCAAAGAAUAAGCACCGGCUAACUUCGUG